RNAcentral lists this unclassified non-coding RNA (339 nucleotides) under soil metagenome. RNAcentral describes it as "partial contains 5.8S ribosomal RNA, internal transcribed spacer 2, and large subunit ribosomal RNA". The stretch from base 1 to 120 matches the Rfam family "5.8S ribosomal RNA", at positions 35 to 154 of the family's 154-position model. The record is from RNAcentral.
GAUGAAGAACGUAGCGAAGUGCGAUAACUAAUGUGAAUUGCAGAAUUCAGUGAAUCAUCGAGUCUUUGAACGCACAUUGCGCCCCCUGGUAUUCCGGGGGGCAUGCCUGUCCGAGCGUCAUUGCUGCCCUCAAGCACGGCUUGUGUGUUGGGCUCCGUCCCCCCGGGGACGGGCCCGAAAGGCAGCGGCGGCACCGAGUCCGGUCCUCGAGCGUAUGGGGCUUUGUCACCCGCUCUGUAGGCCCGGCCGGCGCCAGCCGACAACCCAUCAUCCUUUUCAGGUUGACCUCGGAUCAGGUAGGGAUACCCGCUGAACUUAAGCAUAUCAAUAAGCGGAGGA